UACGUAGGGUCCAAGCGUUGUCCGGAUUUAUUGGGCGUAAAGAGCUCGUAGGCGGUUCGGUAAGUCGGGUGUGAAAACCCCAGGCUCAACCUGGGGACGCCACUCGAUACUGCUGUGACUUGAGUUCGGUAGGGGAGCACGGAAUUCCUGGUGUAGCGGUGAAAUGCGCAGAUAUCAGGAGGAACACCGGUGGCGAAGGCGGUGCUCUGGGCCGAAACUGACGCUGAGGAGCGAAAGCGUGGGUAGCAAACAGG
This 254-nucleotide ribosomal RNA is filed under the name Iamia sp. RNAcentral's name for it is "partial 16S ribosomal RNA". It matches the Rfam family "Bacterial small subunit ribosomal RNA", at positions 524 to 776 of the family's 1533-position model. RNAcentral also lists the same sequence under 2 other names. Lineage: Bacteria; Bacillati; Actinomycetota; Acidimicrobiia; Acidimicrobiales; Iamiaceae. The record is from RNAcentral.